UCAUUUUUAUAAUCUACAGCCUUAUACAUGUUACCACAUAGGAUUGUCAUAACGCUCCUGGAAAAACAUAGAUAUUAUCGAAGGUAGUUUAUAUUAACCCCAUUUAAACCAAGAGGUUAAGUAGCUUCUUUACAAUCUUAACACUCUUCACCACUAAGUGAUAUUGUCAUUGUUUCCCUCCACUAAAGAAGGGAGCUAGCUCCCACUGUUUCUCAGUCUUUACUAUUUGCUGGGCUGGUAUAAGUGCUUUACAUAUAUUAUCUUGUCGAACGCAAUAAGAACUCUGCGAGGUGGGUAGUAAGUGAUCCUGUCUUGUAGAUAUGGGAACAGUAGUGGAUAAGUUAGACUGAUAUGCCCAAGGUCACCCAGCUAGUGAGUGACAGACAGGGAUAUGACCCAGCUCUGCAGACUCAGGAGCUUUUGUUCAGUCCAGUCUACUUUGCAGUGCUGUGAUGGCUAAGUCCUAGACAGUGAUGUCUUUGAAGGCAAAGACUGCCUAACUCCCUCUGCUUCCUCAGUGCCUAGCACAGGCCCUGGUACAGAAUAGGCCCUAUUGGGGCUGAAGGAUGGAAGAAGGGAGAGAGGGAGAGAAUAAGGGAGAAAAGAAGGAAGGAGAGGAGAGAGAAUGAGAUGGAGGCCCAAAGAGAAGAAAAAAGAGGGAGUAAAAGAAAAGGAAGAAAAGAGGCAGGGAGAGAAGAGUAAGGGAAGGCAGGUGGUCUGCUUUAGCUGUUUCUACUUAUCGCCUCAGAUGAAACGAGAAAGAAGUCUGUGUUGAUGUUGUCACCAUUUAUUGUUAUUUUACUAAUGUACUACCUAUAACAUUGUGUUCUCCACCUCCACCACUUUUUUUUAAGUGCUUGGAAUAGUCAGGUCCUGGUAGGAAGAGAUGGAUUUAGGGUCUGCUUAAAAAGGCAUAGGUGCAUUCUGGCCUUGGCUGGGGCUCUUACCACCUCUAGGGCAGAAGGUAGACGUGGAGCAGUGACUCCUGGAAUCACGGAGGGUGCUGUGGUUGUGGAUGGUGGGAGCUGCAGCCCCAGUGGAGGAACAUAGCUACUGACUAGCUGUUGCAAAAGGCAGCCAGGGGACUAAUUUACUUACCCAAACACCUCCUCUCUGAUUUUGAAUCCCCUAUUUGUGCCCUUCAGUGGUCAAACCCAACAGCAAGCUGGAAGACAAGGGUAUCCUUGAUCCAGAAACGUCAGUCUCCCAGGGAAAGGUGCCUUAUGGACUUGGAGGGGCAACAAGACUCUGGCGCUAAGUGAGGAGACAGACACUGGGGAAGAUAUUUAACGUGAACAGCAGGGGGCACCAAACAGGAGUGGCACUGACCAAUCAGAGCAGUGCCAGCCAUAAUAACCCACAGUUCUUGUACCUUUGUAAGACUUAGGGCUGUGUGGGGUGGCUCACACCUGUAAUCCCAACACUUUGGGAGGCCGAGGCGGGUAGAUCACGAGGUCAGGCGUUUGAGACCAGCCUGACCAACAUGGUGAAACCCCAUCUCUACUAAAAAUACAAAAAUUAGCAGGGUGUGGUGGUGCGCCCCUGUAACCCCAGCUACUCGGGAGGCUGAGGCAGGAGAACUGCUUGAAAUUGGGAGGCAAAGGUUGCAGUGAGCCAAGAUCACACCACUGCACUCCAGCCUGGGCGACAGAGCAAGACUCCGUCUCGAAAAAAAAAAAGCAAAACAAAAAAAAAAA
RNAcentral lists this long non-coding RNA (1697 nucleotides) under Macaca fascicularis (crab-eating macaque). RNAcentral describes it as "lncRNA (ENSMFAG00000064229.1)". The record is from RNAcentral. Lineage: Eukaryota; Metazoa; Chordata; Mammalia; Primates; Cercopithecidae.